Molecule: unclassified non-coding RNA, 181 nt
Filed under: Aspergillus flavus
Lineage: Eukaryota; Fungi; Ascomycota; Eurotiomycetes; Eurotiales; Aspergillaceae
Also listed under: 2 other names
Source: RNAcentral
CCGAGUGUAGGGUUCCUAGCGAGCCCAACCUCCCACCCGUGUUUACUGUACCUUAGUUGCUUCGGCGGGCCCGCCAUUCAUGGCCGCCGGGGGCUCUCAGCCCCGGGCCCGCGCCCGCCGGAGACACCACGAACUCUGUCUGAUCUAGUGAAGUCUGAGUUGAUUGUAUCGCAAUCAGUUA